Pieris brassicae (large cabbage white) is the source of this 2995-nucleotide long non-coding RNA. RefSeq lists it as uncharacterized. The record is from RefSeq and is a predicted model, not a curated record. The transcript has 5 exons. Lineage: Eukaryota; Metazoa; Arthropoda; Insecta; Lepidoptera; Pieridae.
CGUACCUAGCUACCCCUUGCAACCCUUCUACAACCCUUCCAGACCCUUAUAACAAAAAAACCACGUCAUAUUCAAAUCACUCGCCAACCCCUAAACAUCCCUUAUUCCUAUUGCCUUUCUUAAUACUUUCAUUUACAAUAGUUUCGCGUAUUUCGAAGUGUUUUUAUUUGUCAAUUGUGAAUAUUAAAUUAAAUUGUGUCGAAAUCCUUAUCAAGCGUUUAUCCUUUUUUAUCUGUCGCGAAUUAUCGAAAAAAUUGUUUAAUACGUUCUAUGCCAGCGCGCGCGCGAGUCUAUCAAACGGAUUUUAGGCCUAAAUUCACGGCAAUCGCGCGAAUUCGCUAAAUUUUUGCACACGUUUAGAAUUGUAAUUUCUAAUAAGAUUUCAAUAGGCCUGUAAAAGUGACUUUAUUUUUAUUAUCCACGGACCUCAGUAUUUAUGAUUAAAGUGUAUUUUUGUAAAAAAAAACGACUUGAACAUAAAAUUUAUAGACAUUUUAUUGAGUGUCUUUGUUUGGCGUGGAACGGUUUAAGAGAAGGUUCUGUGAAAAUUACAGUUUUGGAUUAUUUCUGGAUUUUAUUCAUAUAUUGAUGCUGUCGAAAAUGGAGUCUAUGGCUGGGUAUGGCUGAGGAUGACGAGCAGAAGACAGCAAAAGUUUUGGAUUUCUGUGAAGGGCUCGUAGCGUAGUGUUUGGAAAAGCAAAACGCUGAAAGUCAACAUUAAGGGAAAUUAACGAGGAAAUUAUUCAGGACAAUGGAUGCAGAUGACGAAAUUCCAAGUGAAGAAAUCUGGACCAGUCGCAGCGGUCAACCGAUGCACGAAUGGUCCAUCACCGAUGGUGAUGUUCCCGUAUGCCUUACUAGGAGUCCAUACGCCAAGGGAAUUCCCUAUUUAUUUCCAUUACUACUACCCUUUUGAAAUGUUAACAUUCAUUACAAUUCAAGUUUACUUAUUCAUUAAAAUGAUGUUCAGAAGCCGGUUUCUAUAAAGGAACUGACGGAUCUAUGCAGAGUCAAUGUGCGACUGAUUUGCGAUUUCCUCGGAAACAACUGAGGCGAUAAGAUCUUUGCUCAUUUCGCAAAUAUUUUCUAAUUACCCGAUUUGUAUUUGAUCAUAUAAUUUAAAAUGGAUGGCGGAAAUUGUCUCGUUUUACCCGUUAAGUUUGUCAGGUAAAGGCUGACCACUUGAAUAUAAAAAGCAAAAUUAAUCAUACACAUGUAAAAGAUGUCCCAUGCCCCGUGGGAGUGUUACAAGACUUCAUACUGUGGAUAUUGGUAAAAGAAAUAUUGUCUUCAAAUUUGUAUUUUCGUCAUUGUACACCUACCCAUAUUUAAUAUAGAAUCACGCUCAGCAGUUAAUAUUUAUUUUGUUGUCUUUGCUUUUUUAACAUAUUCGUUUCGUUUUUAGUUUAAUUUUGUAAUGAGAAAAUGGCGGCUGAACCAUUCUGUACACUACCGUAUAUGUAAAUGCACAUUUUGUUUCUGCUGCCACAUCUACUUAAUGUUUUGUUGACCUAUUAUAAUUUUUCUCCCACUUAGCUUUGGACCCUCUCAACUGGGACCCGUAGACCCGAACUUGUGCGCAAAGUCGUAUGGAAGACUGGACUGCGACGUUUCCGUCUCACGUUUAAAUAACCGCAUCCGUACAAAGUUUCUCGACGGACGACUCUGCCCCUUCUUUUGCCUAUAUCCAGCUUAUUUAAUAUUUCAGCACAAUAGUAUUGCAUUGUGUAGAAGGGAUCGGGAUUAUUAAGGAAAAUGACCGACCCGUCCAUUCUCACCCGCAUUUAGUAUCGCAUUACACCAAAAAUAACUAUUGUCUAUGUCGCUCUAAAGAGUAUAAUCUGUCUUCGUGACGUGAUUUAUAUUUUAGAAAUUCAUAAAAUGUCAAUUGUCAAUUGUCAAAACAAUGUUUGGUCAAUCUCCUUGACGGCGGAAUGCGAAUUUCGUGUUACGGCUUUUAGUCGCAAGUCUACGUCAUCCACACAAGUUUGGUGAUACGCGGGAACAGUUUUGGCGGGAUUUCGACGCUUCAACAUUUUUAGUUACCUUUUUAUUGUGUGUUUUGUGUUAUUUCGUAGAUUUAGUUUCUAUAAUUUUAUAUAAUUAGUUUUCAUAUAGCUAGUUUUUGUGCAAAUAAUGAUUUUAUCUUUUUACUAAAAUGUAGAGUUAAAACUUCUUAAUUUGUUAAUUUAUAAUGUAUUUUUAGUGUUAUCUAGGUAAAAAAGACCAUGUCGGGUUGAGGUAGUAGGUUGUAUAGUACAGUAUUACACCAUUUAGGAGAGACUGUAUAGCCUGCUAACUUUACUCGCUGUGGGACAUUCCACACGAAGACUAGGAAGACCGGAAGCCUACGGAGCAUACUGGAGGACGAGAUAGUAGCAGACAUGGAAAGAAUGGAAAGAAGCGUCCUCUAAAUGAGGAACUGGAGUAGUGUCAAAAGUACUUCAAAUAUAUCUUUGUGUCAAAUGUUAAUAAGCGUAAAUAAUAUUCCUUUCCUUCUCACGGAAAUAGAAUAUUAAUGCUACACAGCACACGAUCCUUCUGUAAAAGGAAUACAAUGAAAUAAUAUUUGUACGUUAAUCGUCUGCCUCAAUGUAAAUAAUAUGUAUGUAAAUGUGUGUUUAUAUUCUUCUCUCUAUUUUUAUUCUUAUUACUAAAGCAGUUUUAGGGAAUAAAUAGGCAGGUUUGAAUAUUGAAAAAACUCAAUAUUCAAGUAGCCAUCGGAAAAAGUACAAAUUCAUCUUUAGGAUAAAGCACAACAGAGUCUGCGGCGAAAACUUAUUGAAUGAAUGAAAAAAUAUUCAAUUCUAAUUCAAUAUUGUUAGGGUUAAUGAAAAUAUAAUAAUAAAACUGAUAACGCAUCGGUUUAUUGAAUCUUGCAAUAAUUAUUGUAUUAUAUAUACUUAUAUACUUCUGGAAGCGACUAAUUUAGUCAUUGUUUUAAUUAAAUUAUACACAGACUAAACCCAAAAUGUAUUUUUUGUAAUUAAAUGAC